UGGGGAAUUUUGGACAAUGGGCGAAAGCCUGAUCCAGCAAUGCCGCGUGUGUGAAGAAGGCCUUCGGGUUGUAAAGCACUUUUGUCCGGAAAGAAAUCCUUGGCUCUAAUACAGUCGGGGGAUGACGGUACCGGAAGAAUAAGCACCGGCUAACUACGUGCCAGCAGCCGCGGUAAUACGUAGGGUGCAAGCGUUAAUCGGAAUUACUGGGCGUAAAGCGUGCGCAGGCGGUUUGCUAAGACCGAUGUGAAAUCCCCGGGCUCAACCUGGGAACUGCAUUGGUGACUGGCAGGCUAGAGUAUGGCAGAGGGGGGUAGAAUUCCACGUGUAGCAGUGAAAUGCAUAGAGAUGUGGAGGAAUACCGAUGGCGAAGGCAGCCCCCUGGGCCAAUACUGACGCUCAUGCACGAAAGCGUGGGGAGCAAACAGGAUUAGAUACCCUGGUAGUCCACGCCCUAAACGAUGUCAACUAGUUGUUGGGGAUUCAUUUCCUUAGUAACGUAGCUAACGCGUGAAGUUGACCGCCUGGGGAGUACGGUCGCAAGAUUAAAACUCAAAUGAAUUGACGGGGUCAUAGCUGUUUCCU
This 585-nucleotide ribosomal RNA is filed under the name uncultured bacterium. RNAcentral describes it as "partial 16S ribosomal RNA". It matches the Rfam family "Bacterial small subunit ribosomal RNA", at positions 355 to 1375 of the family's 1533-position model. The record is from RNAcentral.